This 568-nucleotide long non-coding RNA is filed under the name Brachypodium distachyon (stiff brome). RNAcentral describes it as "long non-coding RNA (BDIS_LNC001359)". Lineage: Eukaryota; Viridiplantae; Streptophyta; Magnoliopsida; Poales; Poaceae. The record is from RNAcentral.
AGGCAGCCAUAAUGGAAGCAAUGUACAGAAUGAAAGUAGCACCGCUCCAAAUGUUACAAGACCGAACAUGGAGAGUGGCAUCAUGGACGAAAAUGGGGCUGAAGGUGGCAAUGGAAGUGGGAGCGGGCCGAGCGGAGGCAGUGGCAAUGACAUGUAUCAGAAUCAGCUCAGCCAACGAGAAGCUGCAGUGAACAAAUUCAGACAAAAACGGAAAGAGAGGAACUUUGGAAAAAAGGUAACCUGUUUUCACUUGCAAGUCUUCUAAAGCUGGGAGUUCCAGAAUUAGUACUGUAUCAAUUUCUUCAAGGACCCUUUCAGUUUGAGUCGGUAUAGUAAGAUGACCGGGAAUGUUAUCCGAAUAGUUGGAUGAAAACCAGAAGGUCCACAACCCAAAAAAUUGCUUAUGAAUCUAGACUACUUGAUUUAGAAAGAGAGAAAACCAAACUUAUGUUAAUUCCAAGCAUGAUAGGGCCUAACUUCUUUAAAUGGAAAUACCGUAGCAGCAUGAGGUAAGGAACACUAACAUGAUACGCUCAACAAAUUAAUUCAUAAUAUGUCUUGGAGAGUA